RNAcentral lists this ribosomal RNA (253 nucleotides) under uncultured bacterium. Its description in RNAcentral is "partial 16S ribosomal RNA". It matches the Rfam family "Bacterial small subunit ribosomal RNA", at positions 524 to 776 of the family's 1533-position model. The record is from RNAcentral.
UACGUAGGGUGCGAGCGUUGUCCGGAAUUAUUGGGCGUAAAGAGCUUGUAGGUGGCUCGUCGCGUCGGGAGUGAAAACCCGCGGCUUAACCGCGGGCCUGCUUUCGAUACGGGCAGGCUAGAGGUAGGUAGGGGAGAAUGGAAUUCCCGGUGUAGCGGUGAAAUGCGCAGAUAUCGGGAGGAACACCGGUGGCGAAGGCGGUUCUCUGGGCCUUACCUGACGCUGAGGAGCGAAAGCGUGGGGAGCGAACAGG